RNAcentral lists this ribosomal RNA (319 nucleotides) under uncultured bacterium. RNAcentral describes it as "bacterial SSU rRNA". It matches the Rfam family "Bacterial small subunit ribosomal RNA", at positions 470 to 789 of the family's 1533-position model. The record is from RNAcentral.
GGACGGUACCUUUCGAGGAAGCCACGGCUAACUACGUGCCAGCAGCCGCGGUAAUACGUAGGUGGCGAGCGUUGUCCGGAAUUAUUGGGCGUAAAGGGAGCGCAGGUGGGAAAGUAAGUCAGUCUUAAAAGUGCGGGGCUCAACCCCGUGAUGGGAUUGAAACUACUUUUCUUGAGUGCAGGAGAGGAAAGCGGAAUUCCUAGUGUAGCGGUGAAAUGCGUAGAUAUUAGGAGGAACACCAGUGGCGAAGGCGGCUUUCUGGACUGUAACUGACACUGAGGCUCGAAAGCGUGGGGAGCGAACAGGAUUAGAUACCCUG